UCAAGUUCACUUUUAUGAGUACAUCAAUCUCUGCAGUCUGAGGCAACUCAGGAGGAGUAAUGGAGGUUGCUCCUGUAGAUCCUUUGGAUCCUUCUCUCCCACACUCAGCUCUUUACCAGGAAAGCAGUCUCUCUUCUAAAGUCAGUACACAGCAACAAUGACUGCACUUUGGGUCAGGAUAACAUAAUUUGUCACCUUCUCAUAAUCAAGGUACAUAUAAAGAUUUUGUUCAGUCAAUACCUUUGAUAGGUCUUUUGGGUCUACCACCCUUGCUUAAUGGGACAAACCUAGCUUUACUCUUG
This 302-nucleotide long non-coding RNA is filed under the name Anas platyrhynchos platyrhynchos (common mallard). Its description in RNAcentral is "lncRNA (ENSAPLG00000027643.1)". The record is from RNAcentral. Lineage: Eukaryota; Metazoa; Chordata; Aves; Anseriformes; Anatidae.